This 610-nucleotide ribosomal RNA is filed under the name Herophydrus musicus. Its description in RNAcentral is "SSU rRNA". It matches the Rfam family "Eukaryotic small subunit ribosomal RNA", at positions 22 to 602 of the family's 1831-position model. Lineage: Eukaryota; Metazoa; Arthropoda; Insecta; Coleoptera; Dytiscidae. The record is from RNAcentral.
AGUCAUAUGCUUGUCUCAAAGAUUAAGCCAUGCAUGUCUCAGUACAAGCCGAAUUAAGGUGAAACCGCGAAAGGCUCAUUAAAUCAGUUAUGGUUCCUUAGAUCGUACCCACAUUUACUUGGAUAACUGUGGUAAUUCUAGAGCUAAUACAUGCAAACAGAGCUCCGACCGGAGACGGGAGGAGUGCUUUUAUUAGAUCAAAACCAAUCGGCGGCGGGCGCGUUCGCGCGUCCGUUCGCCGCUCAACCUGGUGACUCUGAAUAACUUUCCGCUGAUCGCACGGUCUCGCACCGGCGACGCAUCUUUCAAAUGUCUGCCUUAUCAACUGUCGAUGGUAGGUUCUGCGCCUACCAUGGUCGUAACGGGUAACGGGGAAUCAGGGUUCGAUUCCGGAGAGGGAGCCUGAGAAACGGCUACCACAUCCAAGGAAGGCAGCAGGCGCGCAAAUUACCCACUCCCGGCACGGGGAGGUAGUGACGAAAAAUAACGAUACGGGACUCAUCCGAGGCCCCGUAAUCGGAAUGAGUACACUUUAAAUCCUUUAACGAGGAUCAAUUGGAGGGCAAGUCUGGUGCCAGCAGCCGCGGUAACUCCAGCUCCAAUAGCGUAU